AUGAAUUUUCAGCAACUUGAUCAUGAACAUGUUGCACAAGCUUGGGAGAGGAUGAAACUAAUGAUACGUAAUUGCCCUACACAUGGUUUGAAUCUUUGGAUGAUUAUACGAAAAUUUUAUGCCGGAUUGAACUUUGCUUCUAGAAAUCUUUUAGAUUCGGCCGCAGGAGGCACUUUUAUGGAAAUCACUUUAGGAGAAGCUACCAAACUCCUACUUGAUAUUAUGGUUAAUUAUUCUCAAUGGCACACGGAAAGAUCUACUAGUAAAAAAGUGCAUGCAAUUGAAGAGAUUAAUGUUUUGAAUGGAAAGAUGGAUGAACUUAUGAAAUUGUUUGCUAAUAAGAGUGCUCCUACUGAUCCUAAUGAUACGCCUUUGUCUACUUUGAUUGAGAAUAAUAAUGAAUCUAUGGAUGUGAAUUUUGUUGGUAGGAACAAUUUUGGUAAUAACGCGUAUAGAGAUAAUUUUAAUUCUAGGCCGUUUCCUAGUAAUUCCUCUAAUAAUUAUGGUAAUUCCUACAACAAUUCUUAUGUAAGUUAUAAUAAGAUGCUCUCUGAUUUUGAAUCUAAUAUUAAAGAAUUUAUUAGUUCGCAAAAGAGUUACAAUGCUUUGAUUGAAGAAAAAUUGCUUAAGAUUGAUGAGUUGGCUAGGACCGUGGAUAGAAUUUCUAUUGAUGUUGAUUCUUUGAAAAUUAGAUAUAUUCCACCUAAGCAUGAUAUCAAUGAGUCUCUCAAAGCCAUGAGAAUUUCCAUUGAUGAGUGCAAAGAAAGAACCGCUAGGAUGCGUGCUAAGAAAGAUUACUUUAUGAAAGGGUGUUCUUCUAGUUUUCAUGAUAAUAAGGAUGAAGAUCUAAAAGUGAUUGAUGCGUCCCCUAUUAAAUAUUUGUUUUGCAAUAUGAAUCUUGAUAAUGAUGGGACUGGAGAUGAUUCAACUUUAGUUAGAAGGCGUCCCAAUGAUUGGAGUUUUUAG
This 966-nucleotide ribosomal RNA is filed under the name Triticum aestivum (bread wheat). RNAcentral's name for it is "partial small subunit ribosomal RNA". The record is from RNAcentral. Lineage: Eukaryota; Viridiplantae; Streptophyta; Magnoliopsida; Poales; Poaceae.